RNAcentral lists this ribosomal RNA (631 nucleotides) under uncultured fungus. RNAcentral describes it as "LSU rRNA". It matches the Rfam family "Eukaryotic large subunit ribosomal RNA", at positions 74 to 733 of the family's 3401-position model. Lineage: Eukaryota; Fungi. The record is from RNAcentral.
AUUGCCUCAGUAACGGCGAGUGAAGCGGCAACAGCUCAAAUUUGAAAUCUGCCGCAAGGCCGAGUUGUAAUUUGUAGAGGAUGCUUCUGGGCAGCGGCCGGUCUAAGUUCCUUGGAACAGGACGUCAUAGAGGGUGAGAAUCCCGUAUGCGACCGGUUGGCACCCGUCACGUAGCUCCUUCGACGAGUCGAGUUGUUUGGGAAUGCAGCUCUAAAUGGGUGGUAAAUUCCAUCUAAAGCUAAAUACCGGCCAGAGACCGAUAGCGCACAAGUAGAGUGAUCGAAAGAUGAAAAGCACUUUGGAAAGAGAGUUAAAAAGCACGUGAAAUUGUUGAAAGGGAAGCGCAUGCAACCAGACUUGUCGGCGGUGUUCCGCCGGUCUUCUGACCGGUCUACUCGCCGCCGACAGGCCAGCAUCGUGUGGGUGUGCCGGAUAAAGGCGUCGGGAAUGUGGCCCCUCGGGGUGUUAUAGCCCGGCGCAUAAUACGGUGCCGCCCGCGCGAGGUCCGCGCUUCGGCUAGGAUGCUGGCGUAAUGGUCGUAUGCGGCCCGUCUUGAAACACGGACCAAGGAGUCUAACAUCUGUGCGAGUGUUCGGGUGUCAAACCCCUACGCGGAAUGAAAGUGAACGGA